RNAcentral lists this ribosomal RNA (449 nucleotides) under uncultured bacterium. RNAcentral's name for it is "partial 16S ribosomal RNA". It matches the Rfam family "Bacterial small subunit ribosomal RNA", at positions 29 to 523 of the family's 1533-position model. The record is from RNAcentral.
AACGAACGCUGGCGGCAGGCCUAACACAUGCAAGUCGAGCGAGGACUUCGGUCCUAGCGGCGGACGGGUGAGUAGCGCGUGGGAACGUGCCCCUUGGUACGGAAUAGCCCCGGGAAACUGGGAGUAAUACCGUAUGAGCUCUACGGAGGAAAGAUUUAUCGCCAAGGGUUCGGCCCGCGUUGGCUUAGGUAGUUGGUGGGGUAAUGGCCUACCAAGCCGACGAUCCAUAGCUGGUUUGAGAGGAUGAUCAGCCACACUGGGACUGAGACACGGCCCAGACUCCUACGGGAGGCAGCAGUGGGGAAUCUUAGACAAUGGGCGCAAGCCUGAUCUAGCCAUGCCGCGUGAGCGAUGAAGGCCUUAGGGUUGUAAAGCUCUUUCAGCUGGGAAGAUAAUGACUGUACCAGCAGAAGAAGCCCCGGCUAACUCCGUGCCAGCCGCCGCAGUAA